AAAAAAAGGAAAAAGAAAAAGAAGAAAGAGAAAGAAACGAGAGAGAGAAAAAAUGUGAUACAACUUUUGUGUGAAAAAGAAAUGAGUGAGAAAUAAUUAAAACAAAAUUGUAACAUAUCACAUGGUGCUAUAACAACCUGCAUGUUCCGAAAUGGGAAAGAAUAAGUGGUUGAGACAAUGUCACGUGGUGCUGCACAACGUACUAAUUUGGUUGUAAUAUUGGAAGUAUUCAUCAUCAU
Molecule: long non-coding RNA, 239 nt
Filed under: Lathyrus oleraceus (garden pea)
Lineage: Eukaryota; Viridiplantae; Streptophyta; Magnoliopsida; Fabales; Fabaceae
Description: Pisum sativum (pea) long non-coding RNA (PSAT_LNC018713)
Source: RNAcentral